GGAGAUGGCACUGAGACAAGGGCCCAGGCCUACGGGGCGCAGCAGUCGCGAAAACUUUGCAAUACACGAAAGUGUGACAGGGCUAUCCCGAGUGCCAUCCGCUGAGGAAGGCUUUUACCCAGUCUAGAACGCUGGGGGAAUAAGGAGAGGGCAAGUCUGGUGUCAGCCGCCGCGGUAAUACCAGCUCUCCGAGUGGUGUGGAUGUUUAUUGGGCCUAAAGCAUCCGUAGCUGGCUAAGUUAGUCCCCUGUUAAAUCCAACGAAUUAAUCGUUGGAUCGCGGGGGAUACUGCUUGGCUAGGGGACGAGAGAGGCAGACGGUAUUUCCGGGGUAGGGGUGAAAUCCUAUAAUCCCGGGAAGACCACCAGUGGCGAAGGCUGUCUGCUAGAACGCGCCCGACGGUGAGGGAUGAAAGCUGGGGGAGCGAACCGGAUUAGAUACCCGGGUAGUCCCAGCUGUAAACGAUGCAGGCUAGGUGUUUGGACGGCCACGUGCCGUUCUAGUGCCGCAGGGAAGCUGUUAAGCCUGCCGCCUGGGGAGUACGAUCGCAAGAUUGAAACUUAAAGGAAUUGGCGGGGGAGCACCACAAGGGGUGAAGCUUGCGGUUU
This 607-nucleotide ribosomal RNA is filed under the name uncultured archaeon. RNAcentral describes it as "bacterial SSU rRNA". It matches the Rfam family "Archaeal small subunit ribosomal RNA", at positions 292 to 903 of the family's 1478-position model. The record is from RNAcentral.